Molecule: long non-coding RNA, 771 nt
Organism: Suricata suricatta (meerkat)
Lineage: Eukaryota; Metazoa; Chordata; Mammalia; Carnivora; Herpestidae
Exons: 2
Source: RefSeq, a predicted model, not a curated record
CCUAAAGCACGUUGAGGCCAACACGCGAGAGCAUCCGCAAGGAAGUCAGCAGCUGUAGCGUUAAGAUGUAACAUCUGAUUGUGUUCAAAUUUAUCAAACUGCACUGGCUGAUCUCGUAGACAAAAAGAGCUGGAGAAGCUGGAUUAAUUUAGAACACGGAACGCAUCUGCUCACCUGCUUGCCUUGAAUCCUUUCAAUUUCUGUACAAAGAAUGAUUCAAGAACUUCUGCACACUGGUAAAAAGGCGAGUCACUCGGAUUGUAGUAACGACAGUUAUCAAAAAUUUUGGUCAUAUCUGCCACGAAUUCCGUCAGCUUUUCAUAAUACCGCCUUUGUAUUCUCUCUUCCAUGGUUGCAAGGUCUUAAAGACACAAAAUGUAGAACAUUCUUAAAGCUUGAAGGCAGCUCCAGCGUCAAGACUGCCCACACGCCCAGCAAGAACAUAGGUUUCCUGCCCGCGCAGCCCCAGAGCCAAUCUGAUUCGCGCUGGGGACUAUUUAGCAAUUCACAAAGAAAAGAGGAGCCCUUCUCCAACUUCGUGUCUGAUUAGGGGACUCUAAAAGGUAAAUCUUGGCUACUGAUAAGCAGGUUCUUUUCCUUUCAGUUAACGCGAGAACACAACUUCAUUCAGUUGGGUUGAAACAAAGGAAACCACACCCACAUGAUCAAUACAUAUCCAAGUACAACACAUUCUGACAUGGGAGCAAUUAUGUGUAUUACAUGUACAAAGAGAAGGAGGGAAUCCAAAAUAAAGAACGAAAUAUCUCUGUG